This 254-nucleotide ribosomal RNA is filed under the name uncultured bacterium. RNAcentral's name for it is "partial 16S ribosomal RNA". It matches the Rfam family "Bacterial small subunit ribosomal RNA", at positions 524 to 776 of the family's 1533-position model. The record is from RNAcentral.
CACGUAGGCACCAAGCGUUGUCCGGAUUUAUUGGGCGUAAAGAGCUCGUAGGCGGUUCAGUAAGUCGGGUGUGAAAACUCUGGGCUUAACCCAGAGCCGCCACCCGAUACUGCUGUGACUUGAGUCCGGUAGGGGAGUGGGGAAUUCCUAGUGUAGCGGUGAAAUGCGCAGAUAUUAGGAGGAACACCGGUGGCGAAGGCGCCACUCUGGGCCGGUACUGACGCUGAGGAGCGAAAGCGUGGGGAGCAAACAGG